RNAcentral lists this ribosomal RNA (454 nucleotides) under uncultured Prevotella sp. RNAcentral describes it as "partial 16S ribosomal RNA". It matches the Rfam family "Bacterial small subunit ribosomal RNA", at positions 341 to 792 of the family's 1533-position model. Lineage: Bacteria; Pseudomonadati; Bacteroidota; Bacteroidia; Bacteroidales; Prevotellaceae. The record is from RNAcentral.
ACGGGAGGCAGCAGUGAGGAAUAUUGGUCAAUGGGCGGGAGCCUGAACCAGCCAAGUAGCGUGGAGGAUGACGGCCCUACGGGUUGUAAACUCCUUUUGCCGGGGGAUAAAAAACGGGACGCGUCCCGUCUUGCAGGUACCCGUGCGAAUAAGGACCGGCUAAUUCCGUGCCAGCAGCCGCGGUAAUACGGAAGGUCCGAGCGUUAUCCGGAUUUAUUGGGUUUAAAGGGUGCGCAGGCGGUCGAUUAAGUCAGUGGUCAAAUCACGGUGCUCAACGCCGUUCCGCCAUUGAUACUGGUUGACUUGAUUCCGGUCGAGGCAGGCGGAAUUCGUAGUGUAGCGGUGAAAUGCAUAGAUAUUACGAAGAACUCCGAUUGCGUAGGCAGCUUACCAGGCCGGCAAUGACGCUCAUGCACGAAAGUGCGGGGAUCGAACAGGAUUAGAUACCCUGGUA